AAGUCGUAACAAGGUUUCCGUAGGUGAACCUGCGGAAGGAUCAUUUCCGAAAAAAAAAACAAACAUUGUAUCCACCCACCAUGUGCACUGUUAUGGGUUUUUUUUACUCCCUUUUCCUCUUGUUUUUUUCUUUUCUUUCUUGCCUUGUUCCCUUUUUUUUCCCUUUUCCUCCGUGCGAGGCAAAGGGGAGGGCAAGGGAAGGAAGAGAGAGAGAGAGGGAGUGGAGAGGGAGGCCUUGAUGAACUACCUUGUCAAAAGGGUUUGAUAUAUCACCGUGGUAGCAAUACUUUUUUUCGUAAGAAGAAAAAAAAAAUAUUGGGUUUUCCCAAAAAGGAAAUCCAAUACACACAAUAAAUGAUAUACGACAACUUUUAACGGUGGAUCUCUUGGCUCGU
This 395-nucleotide unclassified non-coding RNA is filed under the name fungal sp. RNAcentral describes it as "partial internal transcribed spacer region". The stretch from base 1 to 46 matches the Rfam family "Eukaryotic small subunit ribosomal RNA", at positions 1786 to 1831 of the family's 1831-position model. Lineage: Eukaryota; Fungi. The record is from RNAcentral.